GCUGGCGUAGCUCAACGGCAGAGCAGCUGAUUUGUAAUCAGCAGGUUGUCGGUUCGAAUCCGACCGCCAGCUCCA
RNAcentral lists this transfer RNA (75 nucleotides) under Clostridia bacterium. RNAcentral's name for it is "tRNA-Thr". It matches the Rfam family "tRNA". Rfam says of the family: Transfer RNA (tRNA) molecules are approximately 80 nucleotides in length. Their secondary structure includes four short double-helical elements and three loops (D, anti-codon, and T loops). The record is from RNAcentral. Lineage: Bacteria; Bacillati; Bacillota; Clostridia.